RNAcentral lists this ribosomal RNA (439 nucleotides) under uncultured bacterium. RNAcentral describes it as "bacterial SSU rRNA". It matches the Rfam family "Bacterial small subunit ribosomal RNA", at positions 954 to 1392 of the family's 1533-position model. The record is from RNAcentral.
GCAAAACGCGAAGAACCUUACCAGGUCUUGACAUCCCGCUGACCGCUCUAGAGAUAGAGUUUUCCCUUCGGGGACAGCGGUGACAGGUGGUGCAUGGUUGUCGUCAGCUCGUGUCGUGAGAUGUUGGGUUAAGUCCCGCAACGAGCGCAACCCUUGAUCUUAGUUGCCAGCAUUCAGUUGGGCACUCUAAGGUGACUGCCGGUGAUAAACCGGAGGAAGGUGGGGAUGACGUCAAAUCAUCAUGCCCCUUAUGACCUGGGCUACACACGUGCUACAGUGGACGGUACAGAGGGUCGCAACCCCGCGAGGGUGAGCAAAUCCCAUAAAACCGUUCUCAGUUCGGAUUGUAGGCUGCAACUCGCCUACAUGAAGCCGGAAUCGCUAGUAAUCGUGGAUCAGCAUGCCACGGUGAAUACGUUCCCGGGUCUUGUACACACCG